GAAAACUUAGUUAAAUCAUAACAUUAACUUGUCAAGUUAAAAUUACUUCACAGUAGUUUUCU
Molecule: transfer RNA, 62 nt
Filed under: Nigidius miwai
Lineage: Eukaryota; Metazoa; Arthropoda; Insecta; Coleoptera; Lucanidae
Description: tRNA-Asp
Source: RNAcentral